This 496-nucleotide ribosomal RNA is filed under the name uncultured bacterium. RNAcentral's name for it is "bacterial SSU rRNA". It matches the Rfam family "Bacterial small subunit ribosomal RNA", at positions 60 to 558 of the family's 1533-position model. The record is from RNAcentral.
AGUCGACGGAGCUGCUUUGAUGAAGUUUUCGGAUGGAUUUAAAACAGCUUAGUGGCGGACGGGUGAGUAACGCGUGGGUAACCUGCCUCACACUGGGGGAUAACAGUUAGAAAUAGCUGCUAAUACCGCAUAAGCGCACAGUUCCGCAUGGAACAGUGUGAAAAACUCCGGUGGUGUGAGAUGGACCCGCGUCUGAUUAGCCAGUUGGCGGGGUAACGGCCCACCAAAGCGACGAUCAGUAGCCGGCCUGAGAGGGUGAACGGCCACAUUGGGACUGAGACACGGCCCAAACUCCUACGGGAGGCAGCAGUGGGGAAUAUUGCACAAUGGGGGAAACCCUGAUGCAGCGACGCCGCGUGAGUGAAGAAGUAUUUCGGUAUGUAAAGCUCUAUCAGCAGGGAAGAAAGUGACGGUACCUGAAUAAGAAGCCCCGGCUAACUACGUGCCAGCAGCCGCGGUAAUACGUAGGGGGCAAGCGUUAUCCGGAUUUACUGGG